CCUUUUUUUUUUGUCUUUCUCUUUCUCUUUCUCUCUCUCUCUAUGAAACUUCGCCUGGCCUGCAAAUAUCUUUUUUACUGAGAAAAAUAUAGCAUGCUAGCUAUCUCACUACAACAAAAACGGUCUAUAGCGACAUCUUUAAAUAUCGACACAGGUCAAAAAAAAAUGCUGCUGGCUAAAUUACCGACACUUUUAAAAAGUGUCGCUAUAUGUAGGGUCGCUAGGUAUAUAGUGACAGUUAAAGAGUGUCACUAUAACCUAAAAAGAGUGCUGCUAAUUUAGCAACACUUAUUUAAACAUCUAGCAACCGUCGAAACUCUAUCUCGUUGGCUGCGGUGGCGGAGGAGGACGAGAGAGAAGGGCCCUUCAUAUAAAAUUUUAGUGGAAUGAGUGAGAGGAGAAGGAGAGAUGGUAAUCAAUUUUUCUUUGAUUUUUCUUUUCUUUUUGUAAUCGGACCAAAUGGGUUGGGUUGGGUGGGUUGAGUAGAGAAAUAUUUUAUUUUUUGUUGGAUUCGGUAUUAUAUUUAGACAUUAGUAGAUAUUUUUUUUAAAUUUUGGCAUAAAUGGGACACUUAGGCAAAAGUGUUCCAAACAUGUGUCACUAUAACCUAAUUCUGUUGUAGUGAUUUGCUUCAAUUUCGCUAUAACCUAAUUCUGUUGUAGUGUCUGCUUCAAUUUCAUUCAGAUAUAUUAAAAAAUGAAAUACAUUUGUAACCUGUU
Molecule: long non-coding RNA, 719 nt
Filed under: Ananas comosus (pineapple)
Lineage: Eukaryota; Viridiplantae; Streptophyta; Magnoliopsida; Poales; Bromeliaceae
Description: long non-coding RNA (ACOM_LNC004416)
Source: RNAcentral